GCUAGAAAUUGAAGGAAAAAGAAGAACGAUUGUUUUUCCAUUGCUCGCAUCUCAUCCAUAUGCAUAAGAGGCAGACCUGUUGAAUGUCUAUGAAAUUUGAUCAAAGGAAUAGUCGGCGACUCUGAUGAACGGCGGCUGCGCUCGUCUUGCCAAAAUGAAAUUUAACGUUCAUCGGAAUUAUGGAGAAUGCGGCGCGCGUUGCGUUGCAAAUCAAUGAUCAGUGGGGCGAUA
This is a long non-coding RNA of Ceratosolen solmsi marchali, 231 nucleotides long. RefSeq lists it as uncharacterized. The record is from RefSeq and is a predicted model, not a curated record. The transcript has 3 exons. NCBI's taxonomy places the organism in Eukaryota, Metazoa, Arthropoda, Insecta, Hymenoptera, Agaonidae.